UACGGAGGGAGCUAGCGUUGUUCGGAAUUACUGGGCGUAAAGCGCACGUAGGCGGGUCCUUAAGUCAGGGGUGAAAUCCCGGAGCUCAACUCCGGAACUGCCUUUGAUACUGGGGAUCUUGAGUCCGGAAGAGGUGAGUGGAACUCCGAGUGUAGAGGUGAAAUUCGUAGAUAUUCGGAAGAACACCAGUGGCGAAGGCGGCUCACUGGUCCGGUACUGACGCUGAGGUGCGAAAGCGUGGGGAGCAAACAGG
Molecule: ribosomal RNA, 253 nt
Filed under: uncultured bacterium
Lineage: Bacteria
Description: partial 16S ribosomal RNA
Rfam family: Bacterial small subunit ribosomal RNA
Source: RNAcentral